AACGCAUAUUGCGCCUAUUAGUAUUCUAGUAGGCAUGCCUAUUCGAGCGUCGUUUCUGCCCUCAGCCACUCAACGUGGUUGGUGUUGGGGAUCAUCUUCAUCUACUUUAGUGGAUUGGUCCCCUAAAUACAGUGGCCAUGGAUACAGCCGAUCUCUACGAAGUCAGAAUGCCACGUUUAGUGAGGCAUUGCAUCCCAUGGGCUUCUGGGAUCUUUUUAGAUCCCCCCAAAAGUCAACUCUAGUUGACCUCGAAUUAGGUAGGAAUACCCGCUGAACUUAAG
Molecule: unclassified non-coding RNA, 281 nt
Filed under: uncultured fungus
Lineage: Eukaryota; Fungi
Description: sequence contains ITS2
Source: RNAcentral